UACGAAGGGUGCAAGCGUUAGUCGGAAUUACUGGGCGUAAAGCGUGCGUAGGCGGUCUCUUAAGUCUGUCGUGAAAGCCCCGGGCUCAACCUGGGAAUGGCGAUGGAUACUGGCUCGCUAGAGUGCGGUAGAGGAGAGUGGAAUUCCCGGUGUAGCAGUGAAAUGCGUAGAGAUCGGGAGGAACAUCAGUUGCGAAGGCGGCUCUCUGGACCAGCACUGACACUGAGGCACGAAAGCGUGGGGGAGCAAACAGGA
This 255-nucleotide ribosomal RNA is filed under the name uncultured bacterium. Its description in RNAcentral is "partial 16S ribosomal RNA". It matches the Rfam family "Bacterial small subunit ribosomal RNA", at positions 524 to 777 of the family's 1533-position model. The record is from RNAcentral.